GGGGAAUAUUGGACAAUGGGCGCAAGCCUGAUCCAGCCAUGCCGCGUGUGUGAUGAAGGCCUUAGGGUUGUAAAGCACUUUCACCGAUGAAGAUAAUGACGGUAGUCGGAGAAGAAGCCCCGGCUAACUUCGUGCCAGCAGCCGCGGUAAUACGAAGGGGGCUAGCGUUGUUCGGAAUCACUGGGCGUAAAGCGCACGUAGGCGGAUUGUUAAGUGAGGGGUGAAAUCCCAGGGCUCAACCCUGGAACUGCCUUUCAUACUGGCAAUCUCGAGUUCGAGAGAGGUAAGUGGAAUUCCGAGUGUAGAGGUGAAAUUCGUAGAUAUUCGGAGGAACACCAGUGGCGAAGGCGGUUUACUGGAUCGAUACUGACGCUGAGGUGCGAAAGCGUGGGGAGCAAAC
RNAcentral lists this ribosomal RNA (400 nucleotides) under uncultured bacterium. RNAcentral describes it as "bacterial SSU rRNA". It matches the Rfam family "Bacterial small subunit ribosomal RNA", at positions 356 to 773 of the family's 1533-position model. The record is from RNAcentral.